CUGUAGCUCAGUAGGUAGAGCGUUUCCAUGGUAAGGAAGAGGUCGCAGGUUCGAUUCCUGUCGGG
This 65-nucleotide transfer RNA is filed under the name Brevibacillus massiliensis. It matches the Rfam family "tRNA", at positions 5 to 66 of the family's 71-position model. Rfam says of the family: Transfer RNA (tRNA) molecules are approximately 80 nucleotides in length. Their secondary structure includes four short double-helical elements and three loops (D, anti-codon, and T loops). The record is from RNAcentral. Lineage: Bacteria; Bacillati; Bacillota; Bacilli; Caryophanales; Paenibacillaceae.